UUUAAAGUYUAAUCUGCUCCMUGAAUAAUUAAAUAGCUGCAGUAUUUUGACUGUACAAAGGUAGCAUAAUCAAUAGUUUUUUAAUUUAAAGCUGGAAUGAAUGAUUUAAUGAAAUAAUUUCUGUCUCAAAUUAAAUAAUUUUAUAAUUUUUUUUUUAGUGAAAAAGCUAAAUUGAUUUUAAAAGACGAGAAGACCCUAUAGAAUUUUAUAAUUUUUAAUUUAAAUAUUUUUAUAUUUGAAAUUUAUUUUAAAAUUUAUUGGAUUGGGGAAAUUAUUAAAUUUAAAAAAUUUUAAUUAUUUUUAAACAAAAAUUAUUGAAUAAAUGAAUUUGAUAUUUUAAGUAAAUAGAAUAAAUUACCUUAGGGAUAACAGCGUAAUUUUUUUAGAGAGUUCUUAUUAAUAAAAAAGUUUGCGACCUCGAUGUUGAAUUAMAAUAAAAUUUUAMUGGAGAAUUUAAAAAUUUUUGGUCUGUUCGACCAUUAAUAUUUUAC
RNAcentral lists this ribosomal RNA (491 nucleotides) under Schenkia sp. 2 BFS-2018. RNAcentral describes it as "partial 16S large subunit ribosomal RNA". Lineage: Eukaryota; Metazoa; Arthropoda; Insecta; Hymenoptera; Ichneumonidae. The record is from RNAcentral.